This 486-nucleotide ribosomal RNA is filed under the name uncultured Glomus. RNAcentral's name for it is "SSU rRNA". It matches the Rfam family "Eukaryotic small subunit ribosomal RNA", at positions 569 to 1061 of the family's 1831-position model. Lineage: Eukaryota; Fungi; Glomeromycota; Glomeromycetes; Glomerales; Glomeraceae. The record is from RNAcentral.
AGCAGCCGCGGUAAUUCCAGCUCCAAUAGCGUAUAUUAAAGUUGUUGCAGUUAAAAAGCUCGUAGUUGAAUUUCGGGAUCAAUUUAUUGGUCGUGCUAUUGUACGUACUGGUAUUAUUGAUUCCUACCUUCUGACGAACCAUGAUGCCAUUAAUUUGGUGUCUUGGGGAAUCAGGACUGUUACUUUGAAAAAUUAGAGUGUUUAAAGCAGGCUCACGCUUGAAUACAUUAGCAUGGAAUAACGAAAUAGGACGUUUGAUUCUAUUUUGUUGGUUUCUAGGAUCGACGUAAUGAUUAAUUGGGAUAGUUGGGGGCAUUAGUAUUCAAUUGUCAGAGGUGAAAUUCUUGGAUUUAUUGAAGACUAACUACUGCGAAAGCAUUUGCCAAGGAUGUUUUCAUUAAUCAAGAACGAAAGUUAGGGGAUCGAAGACGAUCAGAUACCGUCGUAGUCUUAACCAUAAACUAUGCCGACUAGGGAUCGGAUGAU